GUGGCCAGUCGCAUUGGCAAUCGCGCACGGAAUUUUUGUGAUUGAACAUUGAAGUUAAUUAAAUGUAUAACUUGCAAUAGAAAUGUGCGUAAAACAACAAUAAUAAUUGACGCCCGCGGGCAACAAUAAAGUGUACAGUGCGCGAACUGCCCACCGGAAUAUGAAGCAACAACGCGCGUUGCGGGCGGCCGUGGAAGUAACGAUUUUUGCAUGAGUCGCGCUUGGCCAAAAAAAAAAAAAUCUCUUCAAGAAGCCAGAGACGCAAGGUGCGGCAGCUAUAUUUGUUGAUAAGACGGCCCAGUCAAUGUCUGAUAGUGCAGCAACUGAAAGUGGGUCUCUCAUAUGACUGAUAAUGGCAGUCAACGCUGCCUGCUGCAGCAACAACAUAAACAACAACAACAACGACAACAGUAGCAACAACAACAACAACAACAAGGGAAACGGCAGCAACUACGAUGGCCAAGCAAAAUGAAUAUUUGAAAAUUUGGAAACAUAUCAAAUGGCGAAUUGAAAAGUGAAACCAAAAUCGAAAAGUGAAAGGAAAAGAGAAAUUCCACAAAAGAAAAAGACAGAAAACAAUUAGUACAUUUUUUACGCCGGGUACUUAAUAGUUGUUGAAAUUAACAAGUGCCAUACGCGAGUGUUGAAAUCGAGUUUAUAUAGAUAUUUAGUUCUAGAACCUAUUCCAGCUUACGAAUAACACAUAUCCCAAAAGCAACGCUGCCAAUU
This 729-nucleotide small RNA is filed under the name Drosophila virilis. RNAcentral's name for it is "GJ25678". The record is from RNAcentral. Lineage: Eukaryota; Metazoa; Arthropoda; Insecta; Diptera; Drosophilidae.